CUUGUUACUCACAAAUAUCCGUCAUUAUGGCCGAAAAACGUCUUAUUUUUAAAAAAUGGAAAAAGGAUGUCGGCAACACAUCGAAUAUCGAAGGAUGUCGGGGACACAUCAUAUAAUAUUUUUAACACAUAUGUUAACAUUAUUCUUAUUCAACAUACAUUAUGUUAUUCAACAUGUGACUAGAUCUAAUUUCUUAUUUUUUUCAGAUAAAACUAAUGGUCAUGACAAGACGCAAAUCAAACUUAAACUUGUGCAGGCGGAAACGAUCGCGAAUACAACCUGAUGUUGACCAGCCGACCAGAUCGCCCACUAAACCGCCAUCCGUAAAAAAAUCAAAACCAUGCAAGUCCUCAUUUGUCAUCAAAAUAAAAACGCCUGCCAAAAAUAUUAAGUUUCACCCAUUGUCAAUUACUGAAGAAAUUUCAACAAAACCGCC
This 436-nucleotide long non-coding RNA is filed under the name Mytilus galloprovincialis (Mediterranean mussel). The record is from RNAcentral. Lineage: Eukaryota; Metazoa; Mollusca; Bivalvia; Mytilida; Mytilidae.